This is a non-coding RNA of Prunus avium (sweet cherry), 606 nucleotides long. The record is from RefSeq and is a predicted model, not a curated record. NCBI's taxonomy places the organism in Eukaryota, Viridiplantae, Streptophyta, Magnoliopsida, Rosales, Rosaceae.
CACACGGAAAAGAAAAAGACGCUGAAUGACCUAGGUAUUUUUGUCUUCGUUCGUUUUCCUCUUUUCCAUUUCGUUUCUUCUUCGUUCCUUCAUACACACCCGCCCUCUGCCAAAACCUCUCUCUCAGUCUCAGCCAUCACGUCACGCCUCUCUGCAGCUCUUCUCUCAGCCUCUCUUCAAUCGCCGCCGUCACACAGGAGGUUCUGAAAAUGCUGAAGAAAAGAGUGGGAAUUACAGUAAGAUGCCUUAAGUUAUUUAAGAUUUGACAAGUGCAUGUCAAAGGAUCUCCGACGAAAGGGCAGUUCUGUUUUCUUGAAUCGAAUUCUCUGUUUUCGUUUUUCAAAUACUCUGUUUGUGUUUGGAUCUAGAUUGGUUUGUGUUUCAGUAGAUUUAAAAGUUGGUUAAUCAAUAUAGGGAAGCUAUGAAAAUAUGCUGGCAAGAAGAGAUGCUGGAGUAAAGGUGCUGGUAUUGGCUGUCAAUUGUUUUGUGUGACCUCCUUUGAUAACUCUUUCUAUUCCAAGAACAUUGCUUUGUCAAAAACCUUUUGCAAUGCGAUACAAGCAAAGUAAUUUAACAGUACGUUAUUUUAUUUUGGUUGAGCUUCAA